CGGGACGGGUGAGUAAUGUCUGGGAAACUGCCUGAUGGAGGGGGGUAACUACUGGAAACGGUAGCUAAUACCGCAUAACGUCGCAAGACCAAAGAGGGGGACCUUCGGGCCUCUUGCCAUCGGAUGUGCCCAGAUGGGAUUAGCUAGUAGGUGGGGUAACGGCUCACCUAGGCGACGAUCCCUAGCUGGUCUGAGUGGAUGACCAGCCACACUGGAACUGAGACACGGUCCAG
This 233-nucleotide ribosomal RNA is filed under the name uncultured bacterium. RNAcentral's name for it is "partial 16S ribosomal RNA". It matches the Rfam family "Bacterial small subunit ribosomal RNA", at positions 100 to 334 of the family's 1533-position model. The record is from RNAcentral.